Long non-coding RNA from Toxotes jaculatrix (banded archerfish), 1560 nucleotides. RefSeq lists it as uncharacterized. The transcript has 7 exons. Lineage: Eukaryota; Metazoa; Chordata; Actinopteri; Toxotidae. The record is from RefSeq and is a predicted model, not a curated record.
UGCAGGUCAGCGCCCGUCAAGCAAGAAACACUGCUCCUGGCAAACGUCUCCUUCAUCUGCACAGAGCGACAACAUUGAGAAGAACAUGGAACAAUUAGCGCGGACGUCUCUGUUCACCUCCGGUCAAACACGCCCGAUGCAGGUUUCAUUUCUCCAUAUGCUGCUGCUGCAUCUCGCCUGGAUUAAUGAUUAAUUUCUGUAAACACAGACUGAGGGUUGACUUGGACUGAGUCCAGGUAACCAAAGGACUCUGGCUUCACCAAAACAAGCAGGGCUUUGACUUGAAGAGCGCCGAACUGUUUGUGUGAGAGAGAAAGAGAAAAGACGAGAAGGACGAGCCCGAGACAGACAGGAGCAGAGCCAAAGCUUUCUUUGAAUUUAUUUCCCCAGACGUCUGAAAGCUGUUGGUUGUCGUCCUGCUUCAGUUUACAGUGAGUGAGGAAGCUCAGAGAACGGCCCCGGAUACACAAAAUCACUGAUGAGGAAAAUAUCCAACCAGGAGCCCUCACGUACCAGGACGUCUUUGGCUUCACAGACGGACUCUGUUUGAUUGUCUACACGUUCUGGUCCAGCCAGUGGAUGUAGCUGUUCAUGCUCCGCUCUCCAACACUGGACAUCAUCGGCAGGAAUGCAAACACCAUGCAGCCAUGAAAACCGUCCUCAUAGUGAUCGCUGGUCACUGUGACCCCGGCGUCCUGCAGGCGCUUGGCAUACAUGAGCCCGUCGUCCCUCAGCACGUCAAACUCACAGGUCAUCACGUAUGCUUUAGGCGUCCUACCCAGAACCCCCUGGUCCGCCAGCAGCGGUGCCGCCCUCACAUCCAUCAGCGCCGGCACCUCACCCAACACCCCCGGCGAUCCUGUUUCUUUAACAACCGGACGGAACUGCUUCCUGCGCUCGCCCGGGAGCAAAGAGGUCCAGUCCAGUUUGGAGCGGGUGUCGGCACUGAUGGCCGGCUGGUCCAGGGAGCUGUGGUUGUUCGCGAGCAGGACGGGCUCCAGGGAGGAGUCGGCACCCAGGUACUGCAGCCAGAAACGAGCCAUGACAGGCCUGUAGAGGAUGGGCACGGCCUGGUUCUGCUGGUAGGACGGGGUGUAGAAGUCGAGAGCCUGCAGCACCGGGUAGAUCAGCGCCUGGGCCUUGAACUUCACGGUCAGGCUGUCAUCUGAGCUGAGCUGCGGAUACAGCAGCAGCCAGGUUUCCUCCGGCGCUGUCUCCGGACACACACACCCGCUCUGGAUCGAUGCCGUACCGCUCUAAUACCUCAGCAGACAGGAAGGCCCGCGACGCCGCCAACGCAUCGUGGUACUGAUCUGGGAACACCGCCUCCGGAGCAAGACGACAUGAUGACAGCGUCCAGGUCCUUCGCCAUUUUCCGGCAAAGAAGAUCAUAGGAUCGCAUUCCUGUGAAGCAAGAUGCUGGCAGUGUGUUAUACUGUAUGCGCUGAACUUUAAUGACCUCCAGCCACCGCAUUCAGCUCAUCUUUAUAUUCAAUACACAACACAAAAGUUAGUUAACAUUAUUUCUUCAGUUUUAAAUCCAGCACUCACGGCCGCUGG